CCCUUAGAUGUUCUGGGCCGCACACGCGCUACACUGAAGGAGGCAGCGUGUACUCCUGGAUCGAAAGAUUUGGGUAACCCGCGAAUCUCCUUCGUGCUAGGGAUUGAGGUUUGCAAUUAUCCUUCAUGAACGAGGAAUUCCCAGUAAGUGCAAGUCAUAAGCUUGCGCUGACUACGUCCCUGCCCUUUGUACACACCGCCCGUCGCUCCUACCGAUUGAAUGAUCCGGUGAGGCCCCCGGAUUGUGGCAAUGGCUCUGGUUCGCCAGACCAAUGCUGCGAGAAGCUGUCCAAACCUUAUCAUUUAGAGGAAGGAGAANUCGUAACA
RNAcentral lists this ribosomal RNA (326 nucleotides) under uncultured eukaryote. RNAcentral's name for it is "partial 18S ribosomal RNA". It matches the Rfam family "Eukaryotic small subunit ribosomal RNA", at positions 1470 to 1796 of the family's 1831-position model. The record is from RNAcentral.